RNAcentral lists this long non-coding RNA (654 nucleotides) under Equus caballus (horse). RNAcentral's name for it is "lncRNA (ENSECAG00000053422.1)". The record is from RNAcentral. Lineage: Eukaryota; Metazoa; Chordata; Mammalia; Perissodactyla; Equidae.
CCUUGUUGUUAUCAUCCUCCCUUGACAAACGGAGAAACCAAUGUGCAGAGGACUUCAGUCAAUGGUGAAGACCUUACGUCAUUCUGAAACUCGAAGAACUAAAUUGUGGCUUUCGUCUGAAUAGCUAACAGAAUUUUACAAGGAUUAUCUCAUCAACCUUCACCAAAUUCCAACAAGGCCUGCAUGGUAGGAUGCCAAAUGUGUGGCUGGAGCAACUGAAACACAGGGAGGCCACAUAAUUCCCGGAGUUGCACUGUGAGUCAGUGUCUAAACUGAAAAGUGAAACCUGGCCCUCGGGUUCCCAGACGGAGAGUUUACGAGGAUUCCUCAAGUUUUGCAGGAAGAAUAGAGCUGACACUCAAACUCAUGGCUCCUGAUUGGUAGUUCAAGAAUCUCUCCAGCCUCCCUCCCCUGACUUGCUUACUAGAUGUAGUCUGAGCACUUGCCUUGACUUUGAAGAUCCUCUGCACAAUGGCGUAUCUUUAUAUUCAUAUUUCCCCAGAAGUUUCCUAUACAUAUCAAGCCAAAUUACUCUCAAGCCCUUGAGUAUAUUUAAUCCUUUCCAAGGUUUGGAUAAUUUUAUUAACCUCCCUCCAUUACGCCCUCCACCAGACCAACACGAGCCAUUGAAAUCUUCUCACUUUUCAGCAUCUG